RNAcentral lists this ribosomal RNA (449 nucleotides) under uncultured bacterium. Its description in RNAcentral is "bacterial SSU rRNA". It matches the Rfam family "Bacterial small subunit ribosomal RNA", at positions 354 to 796 of the family's 1533-position model. The record is from RNAcentral.
GUCGAGAAUUUUUCACAAUGGGCGAAAGCCUGAUGGAGCGACGCCGCGUGGGGGAUGAAGGGCUUCGGCUCGUAAACCCCUGUCAUUUGCGAACAAGGGCAACGGCCUAACACGCUGUUGUUUGAUAGUAGCAGAAGAGGAAGGGACGGCUAACUCUGUGCCAGCAGCCGCGGUAAUACAGAGGUCCCAAGCGUUGUUCGGAUUCACUGGGCGUAAAGGGUGCGUAGGUGGCGGACUAAGUCGGGUGUGAAAUCUCCGGGCUCAACCCGGAGCGUGCGCCCGAUACUGGUUUGCUAGAGGAUGGGAGGGGAGACUGGAAUUCUCGGUGUAGCAGUGAAAUGCGUAGAUAUCGAGAGGAACACCCGUGGCGAAGGCGAGUCUCUGGACCAUUCCUGACACUGAGGCACGAAAGCCGGGGGAGCAAACAGGAUUAGAUACCCCGGUAGUCC